Molecule: long non-coding RNA, 669 nt
Filed under: Chrysemys picta bellii (western painted turtle)
Lineage: Eukaryota; Metazoa; Chordata; Testudines; Emydidae
Description: lncRNA (ENSCPBG00000015427.1)
Source: RNAcentral
CACGGCUGCUACUCUGAAACCUGUCAUUAAGGAAGUGUUCCAGUGUGUAUUAUGAUUUCACUUUGCGCUGGUAUCAGAAUAGAAUACAAUUUGCUAACUGGGUUAAAAGACAGUCUGCUGUCACUUUCAUGCCUGUAGUUACCAGUGUGUAUCUUCUAUUGAAAUGCAAUUUUUGUAAUUUCGUACAGCAGACCCAUUGGUGAAUGGCAACAGAGUCGUCUCCCCUCCCCCCCCCCCCCGGUUACAUCUUUUUAUAAUGGCGAAUCACAGAGUGAAGAACUAUAUCACAAUUUUAGCCCUCCAAGUGAAGAUCUGUUAAGAAUAUUCCUCUGGCUGCCAGAAGCUAACUCUUUGCAGUAAUCUCCGUGGCCGCACGACAAAGUGCCAGUGGGAUGCUGUGCUGGAGAACUACUGUUACCCAGACGUACUGUCGUUAUUGCCGGUGAAGUACAAUAAAUCGUUGAUGAGCUACAAUACAGUAAAUGGAAUUCCUUCCUACCCUACCAUAACCUUUCAGUUUCCAAUGAGGCCUUAAAAGAGAGAGAGAAAACCAUGCCUUGGACAGACAUGCUGCCUGACUACAGCUGUGCUGUACAGAUUCUGAGGAAAUUUGGAGAAAUCACACCAGAAUGAAAUAAAUACAAAGGGAAAGCAUGUGGCUACGUAGCA